RNAcentral lists this ribosomal RNA (617 nucleotides) under uncultured bacterium. RNAcentral's name for it is "bacterial SSU rRNA". It matches the Rfam family "Bacterial small subunit ribosomal RNA", at positions 338 to 948 of the family's 1533-position model. The record is from RNAcentral.
CCUACGGGAGGCAGCAGUGGGGAAUUUUGGACAAUGGGCGCAAGCCUGAUCCAGCAAUGCCGCGUGCAGGAUGAAGGCCUUCGGGUUGUAAACUGCUUUUGUACGGAACGAAAAAGUCUGCCCUAAUACGGUGGGCCCAUGACGGUACCGUAAGAAUAAGCACCGGCUAACUACGUGCCAGCAGCCGCGGUAAUACGUAGGGUGCGAGCGUUAAUCGGAAUUACUGGGCGUAAAGCGUGCGCAGGCGGUUAUAUAAGACAGAUGUGAAAUCCCCGGGCUCAACCUGGGACCUGCAUUUGUGACUGUAUAGCUAGAGUACGGUAGAGGGGGAUGGAAUUCCGCGUGUAGCAGUGAAAUGCGUAGAUAUGCGGAGGAACACCGAUGGCGAAGGCAAUCCCCUGGACCUGUACUGACGCUCAUGCACGAAAGCGUGGGGAGCAAACAGGAUUAGAUACCCUGGUAGUCCACGCCCUAAACGAUGUCAACUGGUUGUUGGGUCUUCACUGACUCAGUAACGAAGCUAACGCGUGAAGUUGACCGCCUGGGGAGUCGGCCGCAAGGUUGAAACUUCAAAGGAAUUGACGGCNGAGAGNGCGAGACGACGACGAGGGAGGAGG